This 4574-nucleotide long non-coding RNA is filed under the name Homo sapiens (human). RNAcentral describes it as "non-protein coding lnc-DNLZ-1:1". Lineage: Eukaryota; Metazoa; Chordata; Mammalia; Primates; Hominidae. The record is from RNAcentral.
AGAGUGAGGAGAAGGGCGCCGCGCUCAUGCGGAACCGUGACCUGCAGCUGGAGAUUGACCAGCUCAAGCACAGCCUCAUGAAGGCCGAGGACGACUGCAAGGUGGAGCGCAAGCACACGCUGAAGCUCAGGCACGCCAUGGAGCAGCGGCCCAGCCAGGAGCUGCUGUGGGAGCUGCAGCAGGAGAAGGCCCUGCUCCAGGCCCGGGUGCAGGAGCUGGAGGCCUCCGUCCAGGUGGGGCCGUAGGCAGGGCAGGUGCAGCCCAGGCAGGGCAGUGGGGGCCUUCCCAGCCAGGCCAUUGCCUUUUGCCCCCUUCAGGAGGGGAAGCUGGACAGGAGCAGCCCCUACAUCCAGGUACUGGAGGAGGACUGGCGGCAGGCGCUGCGGGACCACCAGGAGCAGGCCAACACCAUCUUCUCCCUGCGCAAGGACCUCCGCCAGGGCGAGGCCCGACGCCUCCGGGUAGGAGGGCAGGCGGGGAGACAUGGCCCCUGGGGUCCAAGCCAGGCUGGACGGGCUGAGCUCCGCCCACUCCGUGCCUGGAAGGUGGGGUGUGGAGACCCCAGUGCAGCGCCUCCACUCACCCACUCCUGGAGGCACAGUGGACGGUGCCCUCUCCUUGCCCGCCUGCCCCCCAUGGCAAAGGCCAACCUCUGGGCUCAUGGUGCCUGAGGCACAGCAGUGUCUGAGGCCUGCCGGAGGGCCCUGUCCUGCCGCGGUCUGGAAGUGCAGGGCUGGUAGGGGCCUGGGGACUCCUAUGGCCUCCCCCGACAUCCCAACUGGCCUGACCACAUGCUUCUGAGCCCCUGCCCGGAGUAUACCCCAAGGGCCAGAAUGGGGGGCCUCAGGCCUGUGGGGGCUGAGCUGCCGCCCCCUGCAGUGCAUGGAGGAGAAGGAGAUGUUCGAGCUGCAGUGCCUGGCACUACGUAAGGACUCCAAGAUGUACAAGGACCGCAUCGAGGCCAUCCUGCUGCAGAUGGAGGAGGUCGCCAUUGAGCGGGACCAGAGCACACAAAUGGAGGGGCUGUGACCAGCCUCCGCGCCCAGCGGCUUGACGUCCUCCGGAGCCUCUGCUUGGAGUUGGGCGGCCGGGCCGAGGGCCCAGGGCAAGCUUGGGGCCCUCACUGAGGGUCGGCCUUGUGCUGUCCCGUCAGGCCAUAGCCACGCGGGAGGAGCUGCACGCACAGCACGCCCGGGGCCUGCAGGAGAAGGACGCGCUGCGCAAGCAGGUGCGGGAGCUGGGCGAGAAGGCGGAUGAGCUGCAGCUGCAGGUGUUCCAGUGUGAGGCGCAGCUACUGGCCGUGGAGGGCAGGCUCAGGCGGCAGCAGCUGGAGACGCUCGUCCUGGUGGGCCUGGGGCCUGCGGCAGGGAGGGGAGCCGGCGCGUGGGAUGCAGGGCCAGGGGAGCACGGAGCCUCAGCCCCGGCCUUCCCGACCCAACCCUUCUCUGUGACGGGCCCCAACCUAACCAAACCCCUCCUGGCAGUGGGGUGAGGGCACACGAGCAGUUCAGGGUCCCAGCAGGAAGUGGGGCUGCAGGGCCGGGGUGGGUCCUGGGCCUGGCCAUCAGGCAGCCUAGCAGGUUGUUCUGGGCAUGGAGGGGGCCUGGUGUGGCUGAGGGCAUGCCCAGGGCUCCCUGGAGGAUCCCGCUCUGUGCCCUGCCCACCCUGUGCCUGGGGAGCCCUCUGCCCUCACAGCCCACCCACCCCAUUUUCUAUGACCACAGAGCUCCGACCUGGAAGAUGGCUCACCCAGGAGGUCCCAGGAGCUCUCACUCCCCCAGGACCUGGAGGACACCCAGCUCUCAGACAAAGGUGAGGUGGGGACAGCAGUACACCCAGAGGCCUCCCAGCUUCCCCAAGUGAGGCCCAUCUUCAGCACAGGCAGCCCGUGCCGCAAUGCCUGUGUCAACCCCCACAACCCCCACUCCACAGACAGGGAAACUGGGGCUGGGGAUAAGUAAAAUGGUCAAGGUCACCUAGAGAACAAACUACAGAGCCCAGCUGGAACCCAGGGCCCCAGCUAGUGGGACAAGUGUCCCCUGGGGUGGAGAGUGUGGGGGUCUGGGCAGCCCCCAUGGGCUGCAGAGGUGAGCAGGCCCACCGUCCUGAGAGUGUGGGGCCCCUCUGGGCAGCCCCCACGGGGUGCAGAGGUGAGCAGGCCCAGUCCUGGCUGCUCCAAGCUUCCUCCUGGACAGAGGGAGGUGGUAACGAGCGAACGACCAGGUGCAUGAAGCUAGAAGAUGGGGCGAGAUGGGGCCCCACGUGGCUUGAGGGAAAGGGCUGAAUGCAGGGGUGGCCAAGGGCCUGCUGUGUCCCGGUGCAGUGGGGGUAAGGCAGUGGCAGGGGCUUCUAGCGGGCAGGGCAGGCCCCCUCUGCCUGUCUGGGGGAAGGACUGGGUGGCUAGCUGGGAGCAGCUCCCGAGUGUCCAGGAGUGGGCAGUGGUGAUGAGGUAGGUGUUUGCACUGAAGGUGCUGUCAGGUAGGGGUUGGGGAGGGCCCAGCAGAGGGGUCCUGGGAGGCUGCACCGGAGUUGGACAAGCUUCCUGAGUACCAGGCCGUGGCCUCCAAGCAGAGGCGGAAGGGGAAGGAGGAGCCGCAGACGGGGAAGUGAAGACCAGCGCCUUUGGCUGCAGCUCAGAACACUUGAACAUGGGGAUGCCAAGCCCCCAUGUAGGCACAGAGGCGAGCAGGACCCAGGAGUCCGGCUCAGGCACUGCCCCCAUCCCCCUGGGUGGCUGUGGCAGGAGCAGGGGCAGGUGUGAAGGUUGGAGGGUGAGCAGGGGAGGGGCUGGCUCUAAGGGGCUGCCAAUGGCCAGGACAGCCCUGGCCUGGCCCUCACCGCAGUGGGGCUGAGACUGGACGUGCGUGGUUUCUGCCCAAGGGUCCUGAUCCCUGGUCUGCCCAGGUCCUGGCGGUUUCUGAGGGGGUCCAGCCGCCUGAAGGUUCUCUCCCAAUUGCUGCAGUACCCCUGCCCCCACUUCAGGAGGACCCAGACAGCCACUGUAGCUGUCCCCAACUCUCUCCCCAGGGCCGCCAUGCCCACAGAUGCUUUGGAGUGAUGGGGGACGGUGCUGCUCAGGCCCAGGGUUUAAGUUCCCCCGAGGUCUGGGAGGCGUUCCUCCCUGGCAGGCAGCCAGCUCGGGGGAGGGAUGGUCACUGGCGGGAGCGUUGGGCCUGGGCUGGCAUCUGGCGGCCUCCUGGAGCAAUGAACAGGCAAGCGAGGCCAUAAGGCCUCAGUCUCAUCUACAGAAAGCAGAGUCUACACUGGACCCAUGUGGGGAUCCCACCAGGCCUUGGAAGACAGCCCCACUGCAAUGCCGGGGAGGGGUGGGGCAGCCGUGCUAUACGUGGCCCAGCAGAUGGGCAGGUCCCACAGGCACGACUCUCCUUUCCAGGCUGCCUUGCCGGCGGGGGGAGCCCGAAACAGCCCUUUGCAGCUCUGCACCAGGAGCAGGUUUUGCGGAACCCCCAUGUAAGGCUUCCCCGGGGUGGGGUCCUCCCAGCCGUGGGCCUCAGGGUGACCGAUCACAGGGAGAGUGGCUCCCUGCCCUGGGCACCCCCUGCGGUGGCCCCGACGACAGCUGAGGAGUGACCACAAGGUCUCUGCCCACAGUGCUCGGGGUGCGGUGUCUGGGCUGCGAAGUGGAUCCCCCUUUCUUGGGCACUGCAGCAGCUUGGGGGGCUUUUUGGACGUGGAUGUGCCUGGUCCUGGUUUUCCGAGGGCCUUUACAGUGGAUGAGGAGGUGAACACAGGAGUCCUGAGAGCAAGCACCACCUCGGGCUUUGUUGUAGAAACAAUGGCCCGGACCCCAGGCUGGAGCCGUGGCUUGGCCUCCUGGGUGUGUCUUGGCAUCUGAAAUGCAGGCUACCCACACCGGCUCACCUCCAGGGGUACAGGCAGGUCCCACAGGGAGAGCUUGGCGCUGAGCUGAGGCUGUCUGGGCUCCUCGCCUCCCAACCAGUCUGCAGUUACAGGGGCCAGUGGGGGGCGGGUGAGAAGGACGGGUUCCCUCAGGGGAGCCGGCCGGAGCCCGAGCCUUCCCCCUUCUCCAGGACGCAGGCCUGAGCAGCGGGGAGCCGCCCGAGAAGGAGCGGCGGCGCCUCAAAGAGAGUUUUGAGAACUACCGCAGGAAGCGCGCCCUCAGGAAGAUGCAGAAAGGAUGGCGGCAGGGGGAGGAGGACCGGGAGAACACCACGGGCAGCGACAACACCGACACUGAGGGCUCCUAGCCGCAGCAGCGCAGGCCCCGACCAGGGCACACCCACCGGCCCGGCCUCCUGCCACCCGGGGGUGCCGACGCCCUGGGGCGCAGACUUCCCCGAGCCGUCGCUGACUUGGCCUGGAACGAGGAAUCUGGUGCCCUGAAAGGCCCAGCCGGACUGCCGGGCAUUGGGGCCGUUUGUUAAGCGGCACUCAUUUUGCGGAGGCCAUGCGGGUGCUCACCACCCCCAUGCACACGCCAUCUGUGUAACUUCAGGAUCUGUUCUGUUUCACCAUGUAACACACAAUACAUGCAUGCAUUGUAUUAGUGUUAGAAAACACAGCUGCGUAAAUAAACAGCACGGGUGACCCGC